AUGGGUGAACCACAGCAAGUGAGUACACUUUCACCACCACCAAUGCAAUAUAUCAAAGAAUAUAUGAAUGAAAAUAUUCAAGAAGGCUUAGCUCCCAAGCCUCCCCCUCCAAUAAAAGACAGUUAUAUGAUGUUUGUCAAUCAGUUCCAAUGUGAUGAUCUUAUCACCCACCCUUUGGAAAGUCAGAGCAUCAAAAGGCUUCAUCUUAUGCAGUUUGAUCACAAGAAAGAACUGAGAAAACUUAAUAUGUCUAUCCUUAUUAAUUUCUUGGAUCUUUUAGAUAUAUUAAUAAAGAGUCCUGGGAGUAUAAAACGAGAAGAGAAACUAGAAGAUCUUAAGCUUUUUGUACAUGUGCAUCAUCUUACAUAUGAAUACAGACCCCACGAAGUAAAAGAGACCUUCAGAUGGAAGUCCAGAAACAUCAACAGCUUUAAACAGCUGAGGGGUUUCAAAAGCACCUGGAACGAGUAAUUGAAAUGAUUCAGAAUUGCUUGGCUUCCAUGCCUGAUGAUUCACCUCAUUCAGGAGGAGGAAUGAGAGUAAAAACUGAACCAAUGGAUGCUGAUGAUAGCAACAAUUGUACUGGACCGAAUGACCAACAAAGAGAAAAUUCAGGUCGUAGGAGAGAUCAGAUUACAGAGAAAGAUGCUGCCUUGUGUGUCCUAAUUGAUGAAAUGAACGAAAGACCUUGAAAGAUGUUUCUCUUUUUUUUCCUUUUGAUAAAUAGCAUCAUAUAUUAUUUUCUUUUGGACAGUCUUAAGAGAGAUUUCCCUAAAAAUGUAAACAACUUUAAUCUUUACUCCAAUUUUUUCAAUUAUGUGAUGUCAUAGGCAGUAAUUUUGCUGAAUAACAGGCAUAAGCAAAUGAGUACCCCUGCACUAAGAAUAAUCACUUUAGAAAGCAAAGUGUUAGCUGCUGUUGUACGGGACAUUCCUAUGUUUUGGAGUUGCAGUAAAACUUUGAUGAUAACCUCAAUAAUAGCAAAGCUUUGAUCCUUGAAAA
RNA transcript from Sapajus apella (tufted capuchin), 1002 nucleotides. It is a transcript of the gene named mediator of RNA polymerase II transcription subunit 7-like, with no coding region annotated. The transcript has a single exon. NCBI's taxonomy places the organism in Eukaryota, Metazoa, Chordata, Mammalia, Primates, Cebidae. The record is from RefSeq and is a predicted model, not a curated record.